UACAGAGGUCCCGAGCGUUGUUCGGAUUCACUGGGCGUAAAGGGCGCGUAGGUGGUUCUGUAUGUCUACCGUGAAAGCGUACGGCUCAACCGUAUUUUGUCGGUGGAAACUGCAGGACUUGAGGCUGGGAGGGGCUGGUGGAAUUCCCUGUGUAGCGGUGAAAUGCGUAGAGAUGUGGAGGAACACCAGUGGCGAAGGCGACUUUCUGGCUUAUAACUGACGCUGAGGCGCGAAAGCGUGGGGAGCAAACAGG
RNAcentral lists this ribosomal RNA (253 nucleotides) under uncultured bacterium. RNAcentral's name for it is "partial 16S ribosomal RNA". It matches the Rfam family "Bacterial small subunit ribosomal RNA", at positions 524 to 776 of the family's 1533-position model. The record is from RNAcentral.